AACGAACGCUGGCGGCAUGCCUAACACAUGCAAGUCGAACGAGACCUUCGGGUCUAGUGGCGCACGGGUGCGUAACGCGUGGGAACCUGCCCUUAGGUUCGGAAUAACUCCCCGAAAGGGGUGCUAAUACCGGAUAAUGUCUUCGGACCAAAGAUUUAUCGCCUUUGGAUGGGCCCGCGUUGGAUUAGCUAGUUGGUAGGGUAAAAGCCUACCAAGGCGACGAUCCAUAGCUGGUCUGAGAGGAUGAUCAGCCACACUGGGACUGAGACACGGCCCAGACUCCUACGGGAGGCAGCAGUGGGGGAUAUUGGAAAAUGGGCGAAAGGCUGAUCCAGCAAUGCCGCGUGAGUGAUGAAGGCCUUAGGGUUGUAAAGCUCUUUUACCCGGGAUGAUAAUGACAGUACCGGGAGAAUAAGCUCCGGCUAACUCCGUG
This 433-nucleotide ribosomal RNA is filed under the name uncultured bacterium. RNAcentral describes it as "partial 16S ribosomal RNA". It matches the Rfam family "Bacterial small subunit ribosomal RNA", at positions 29 to 507 of the family's 1533-position model. The record is from RNAcentral.